GGGUUACUCUACAACAAAUACAAAGACUGAUUGAGCUAACUGUGUCCAAGUUUCAGAUGUUAGAAAUCUUGUUCUGGACUUGGAGGGAAGGUCUGAGUGGCGUAUAUGUAAAUGGAAAAUAAGUAACACGAGCUUCAAAUUUUAAAAGAAGUUAAACUUAGCUCAAAGCUAAGUUAGCUUUAUUGACGAUAACGCUGUCACAGAAAAUGCAUAUCGUUGGCUUUGUGUGUAAGCACCAGUAAGGGUGAAACACGAACUCAACCUGAAAACCAAUUCAGCUUUUCUCAUCUUAAGUAAAUUAAUGUUUACGUAUACCAGAUAUAAACAGCGACUUUCAGCUGCUCUGUAAUGUGUCACCUACUUCCUGUACGUUCUGACGUUAUGGACUGCGCAAUAAUCAAGAAAUCUGAUUGGAUAGAAUCGGCAAGGAAGCAGAGAGCCGCACCCACGUUCGCGAGUUAGGUUCACAAUCACAAAUCUUUAACGGGGCGUAAACGUCUUAUAAAAAUAUUUUAUCCAAUUUAUUGUUUGUUAUUAAAUGUCAGUUUAGUGUUUCUGAUAACUGAUGGUCUUCUCCUCCAUGCUUACGCAAAUAAUAUAGGUAUUGUACGAUUUACUUGCAGCUGUUUACAAAAAGAAGCCCUGUUUGGAAACAAGAUUUUAACUGAGGAUGGCUUCUCGUGGGAAAUCAGAAACGGGCAAAUUGAGGCAGAAUAUGGAGGAACAGCUUGACCGACUGAUGCAGCAGCUUCAGGACCUGGAGGAAUGCAGAGAGGAACUUGAUGAGGAAGAGUAUGAGGAAACAAAGAAGGAAACUUUGGAGCAGCUGGGCGAAUUCAAUGACUCCCUAAAGAAGAUAAUGACAGGAGACAUGACCCUAGUGGACGAACUUAGUGGAAUGCAGCUGGCAAUCCAAGCUGCCAUCAGCCAAGCAUUUAAAACCCCAGAGGUGAUCCGACUCUUUGCUAAGAAGCAGCCAGGACAGCUGAGAACCAGACUAGCAGAGUGUGUGACAUUCCGGACAGAUGGACCGAGACGUGAUGGUGGGGAAAAUGUCACGGGAUGUGCACACCCAGCAGAAAAUGGAAAUCCUUACAGCCCUGAGGAAACUUGGAGAGAAGCUCACUCCAGAGGAUGAGACUUUUCUUACAGAAAAUGCUACGGCUACUUUGAGCCAGUUUGAAAAAGUGACUGCAAACCUUGGGUCAGAAGACAAAAUUAUGGCUUUAGCAAGCUCUGGUGUCAAAACCAAGGUAUAGCAAGUCUACCAAAAUUUAAUUUUAUGUCAUUGUUUAUGUUCUAAUUUUGGAAAAAAGAAGUGCCAUUUGAUUACAGGUUGUGUACAUAAUCAACACACUUAGGUUUUCCUAUAGAUGUUAACACUUUUAAACAGUAUUGUUUUAUACCUGUGAACUUUUGUAAAUGUGUUUUUAUUUGUCCAGAUAAGUGUGAAAUUGUAUUAUAGUAGGUACGAGCAUGCAAUCUGCUAAAUAUAAAAAUAUGUACAUGAAUGUAGAGGAUAGUGGGCGCAGCUCAAGUAAGAGGAGCAUUGUUGUGAUUUGUGCUGUACCGGGUUGCUGUGUCUGUUUUUAACAUGAAAAUUUACCAGUGUUUCUAAGAUGUUGAUUUUCUGUAUGGUGGCUAGUUUUUAACUAAAUUGCACAUUUAAAUCAUAAGGACUUUGGACAAAAUAACAGAAACGCCAGGUGAAUCAGAGCUUUCCCAAAUCUCCAGUACACAAAGACCUGUGGGGGCCAUAUUGUAUGAUGUAAGCCUGCAGUGCUCCAGUCAACAGUCAACAUUUGACUAUUUUAAUUAGUUUUAAGAUAAAGGAUUUUUAUUGUGUCCAAUUUAGUAGAAGUUUUUAUUGUUGAAGUUUUUUCUUUAGUCUUUUUGGAUCUUUUAUCUUAAAAGUGGCAUCUAUAGUUGAGGUAAUAUUUUUUUCUGUGUUUAUGAAUUGUUUAGCUCCACCAAGUGAUUUUUUUUCCUCAUAAUUUUAGUCAAAAGUUUAAAUCAUUGAAAAUUUGACUGAAAAAUGAAAAGUUAGAAAAAAAAACCACAGACCUUUUUAAUUCUUUCUUCUGCUGUGAAGUAUCUUAGAGCUUCUUAGAUUUAUCUAAUGUCCCUGUUAAUAUAACUGCAUGUAAGGCAGGUCAAAGUAGUUCCACCUCCAGCAGCCACAGCAGGAACCAUAUUGUUGUACAUCAAAGAUUCAAACCUGCACUUUGGCUUUAACUUUUAAUACUCUUAAGAGUAUUUUUAAAAUAUUUAAAUAUGCCUUACUACGAUGGUGCAAAUGUAAUGUUACGAUACAUCAAAAGACAUCAAUCUCAAUAAAUAUGUUGUAAGUGUGACCAAAAUGUGAUCAGAAAUGUCCAAGUUUGAUUGUUUGUCAUCUGUUAAAGCCUUGCAGAAGGCCUUUAGCCAUCAUCUCAUGUGUCUCAUGGGUUUUAUUUAUUGUCUUUGGACUUUUAACUGCCAAGGAAGAUAAGAUUAGUCUGCAAUGAGCAAUGCUGGCUUCAUCUGAUACUGUAAAGUAAUAAGGGUGUAAAUGUUCUAAGGGAAGAGAGUUAAUGUGAUGUAAAAAAGUCCCCCCACUAUCUGUUGUCUUUAAGGAAAAACCUGAACAAGUUAGUGGAGCAACAAAAUGCAGAUGCUCAGGUCCGAUGGACUGCUUAAUAAGAGUUAAGCAAUUAACAUCUUGUGCUCAGCUGAAUGUGAUUAUUUAUCAAGAUGGUAAAAGAGACUGAAGAAUUCGCUGUAGGUGCAAAACUUCCCAGUAAGUCUUUCAGUAAGGUGUCGUUUGAUUAUGAUACUAAUGAAUGUGCACAAUAUGCAAACCAGAGAACCAGAGAACUCCUCCUGAGCUGAAGCUGCACAGUUAGAUAUUCAUUGUAAAGUCCUUUUUGUAAUGACAAAAGGGCAUGUGGCAGUUCAGUGAGGAGAAAAUGAAAGCACACCACAGAUUGAUAAAGUGGUGUGGUCUUUAACAUCACACUUAUAUAAUCAGGUGUUUCUGUUAUUUUACCGAGCCCCUGUUUUCUUUGAUCAUUUUGUCAUUUUAAACAGGUUGACAGCAGUGGUUUAACACUUCAAGCUCUAUUAAAUUUAAGUUUGGCUUUUAAAAACUUAAUGUCACAAUGUUUACAUCAUCCAUUAUGAUCCUCAGCUUUAAAGCUUUCUUUUUGGUGUGAAUAAAACAAUUAAAAAAAAAAAACUUUAUUAAUUUG
Molecule: RNA transcript, 3230 nt
Organism: Melanotaenia boesemani (Boeseman's rainbowfish)
Lineage: Eukaryota; Metazoa; Chordata; Actinopteri; Atheriniformes; Melanotaeniidae
Gene: lzic
Gene name: leucine zipper and CTNNBIP1 domain containing
Exons: 7
Source: RefSeq, a predicted model, not a curated record